Molecule: non-coding RNA, 109 nt
Filed under: Oceanobacillus jeddahensis
Lineage: Bacteria; Bacillati; Bacillota; Bacilli; Caryophanales; Bacillaceae
Description: SAM riboswitch (S box leader)
Rfam family: SAM riboswitch aptamer (S box leader)
About the family: The SAM riboswitch is found upstream of a number of genes which code for proteins involved in methionine or cysteine biosynthesis in Gram-positive bacteria. The SAM riboswitch acts at the level of transcription termination control. The predicted structure consists of a complex stem-loop region followed by a single stem loop terminator region.
Source: RNAcentral
UCUUAUAAUGAGAAGUGGAGGGUACUGGCCUUAUGAAGCUUCGGCAACCAUUGGAUUGAUUUCAAACGGUGCCAAAUCCAGCAGAUGUAUUUAUAGUCUGGGCUAUAAG